CCUCACUAUCUUCUUUGGCUUCUCGCCUCUUUCUCUGCCUCUUUUCUUAUGAGAUAUGUUGUCGCCUUGGACUAAUCCAAGCCUUUGAUUUCUAUUGCUAUGGAUUAUCAACAGUCCAGAACUUCUAUUCUUUCGUGUUGGUGUGCCAGCUAACAAGAUUGUGUCUGCUCUCAGGUUAUAUGGAUUGUGCUCCUAAUUUGCUGACAAAUCUUAUCUAUUGAAGAGAUUCUUCUUCACUUUGGCAAGCCAGAGGCAGAAGCAUUACACACAUUUAUUACAGUAUAUGUUUGGAAGCAAGGAGAAGUCUAUAAGGUGAAGCUUGGGAAUUUACUCUGUCAAGACUUGGUAUGUCCUCAUAUAUUCGAGGACAUAGUCUAUGUUUUCUUAGUUUAUUUAAGAGUUAUUAUGUAUUAUGUAAAGGGCCGUGUCCCUAAGAUAAUUAUGUCGUGUCUUUAAGUUUGGCUUGUGACGAUGAGACUUUCUUAGUAUUUUAUGAAAGAUGUUUCUUUUAUUAAAUUAUUCGUGAAAAGUUUUAAUUCCACUACUUUUCAUGUCUUAUGUAAUGAACGAUAGUUAAAUGAUUGUACAAGACCCCAAAAGGUCGAGUACGUCUUGUGACGAUUCAAGGGUUCUCCCUAUCUUCUAGGGGGUACUUGCGGAUCGUUACAUUAAAAUAACCAAGCGAUAAAAUGAAACAAAGAAAACCUAGAAGUGGGAGAGAAUUGAAACAUACAAAUUGUUUACUGAUAAAGUAUAAAGACAGAAAAAGAACAUUUGAUAAAAACAAGUGGAGAAACAUGUAAUGAACAUAAAUCUAGAGGUGGAAAAAAUCAAAAGGUAAAUGUCAAAAGUGUCAGUAAAUGAAGUUUCACUUUAGUUACCAUUAAACACACAUGUUAAUACAUUUACAAAAUCACACUUCUAAUAUAGUAGAAUAUGCAGGUGAAGAAAUAUCGUGGUCUAUGAAAUUAUUGCACAAAAAACACAAAAUGGACUUCACUAAGGAUUGUGAUGAAUGAGAUAAGAUAUUUUCAUACUUAAUUAGCUAAGAAUUUUGAUAUAAAUUUGGAUGAUGGUUUUAUUUAAUCAAUGAACUUUUAAUAAAAAGCACUUUCCCCGUUCUAUGUUUUAAAUGAUGGAGGGGACUAAAGAUCCCCCAAUUUUUUCAAAAGCAAAUAUUGUUAUUUUAUUAAUAAUUUCAACAUCAAAAAACAAACACCACCUCGAAAGUAGCCCAAACAACAAAAACACAUAAAAGAAUAACAUUCUAUUCUACCCCCAAUCCAACUCUUACCCGGAUGGAGCUAUAUAUAGAUACUUAGAGUAGGGUUUCAUAAAACAGAUCCCCUCAUUAUCUUCUUUUCUCAACUCUUUCUCUGUUUCUUUUGUUAUGAGAUAUGUUGUCGCCUUGGAUUAAUCCAAGCCUUUGAUUUCUAUUUCUUUGGAUUAUCAACAACCCGGAGCUUCUAUGAUUUCGUGAUUGUGUGCCAGCUAACAAGAGUUUCAUGGGUCGUGGUCCUAAUUUGCUGGCAGAUCUUAUCUGUUGGAGAGAUGCUUCUUCACUUGGUAAGUCUUCACAAUUCUCAUUUUCGUUCUUUGCUCUCUAGCCUUUGUCUUCCUGUAGGUUGGAGUGCAUUUUGGUCCACCUCCUUGAAAAAGUAUUGAUAACUUUUUCUAUGAAGCGUCAAACACAUUUAUUACAGGUAUUAUUCUCAAGUGUGACUAUAUGGUCACUGUUCUAUAUGAUCCCGCCUCCACUUUAAUUUAAUCUUGUGUUAGUAUUGAAAAAUCUAUGUGUUAUUUGUGUAUAUAAAUUGAAAUUUCAUUUAUUCGUAAUUAAUAUCCUAGUUGAUCCUAUAAAUGUUAUCGAACACGAUAAUUGGUACUCUAGACAAGUGUCCUUCUCUAUCCUCUAGUACUAGGAAAAUAUAUUUUCAAUGUUCUAAUACCUGCACUAAAUGUAGAAAAAGAAUUGGAAUAGCCUGACAUCUUUUGGCCAAUGGGGACUUUUACUCAAUCUUUUAUUGUAUAUAUAAAAAUCGGAGUGUCCCAUGUAUUAUGAUUGCACAAGUAUAUUUUAACAUCCAAAUUUAUUCUAAUUGAACUAAAUUUGGAACAAAUACCAUAUAUAUAUCAUAAAUUAAAAAAUAAACCGCAAUCAUGUUAUGAUGACAACAUUCCCAAGAGUAUCCUACAUGUUGACCCCCUGCAAGUGAGUAGACAAUUGAUUGCAAAUACCAACCGGUAGAUUAUAGGCAUGAAGUCAAAUUUUUGACUUAAGUCAACAGCUCGGCCUGAUGACUAGAAUAUGCAUGAUCAUAUUUGCGAUCAAUUUCCAACCCAGCUGCGGGGUCAACAAGUAGGAUACCCUUGGGAGUGUCAUCAUAACAUGAAUUGCGUUUGUUCUUUAAACUAUGAUAUAUUGCACAUAUGUUCCAAAUUUAGUUUAUUUAGAAUGUCACACUAACACUUUAUUUUUCAGGUUAUCAACACAUGCUUAGUAUAUGUAAUUAAUCUCAUGUUAGUGUUGAAAAACAUGUGUGUUAUUUGUGUAUAUAAAUUGAAAUUUCAUUUAUUCCAUAACCAAUACCCCAUUGAUUCUAUACAUGUGAUCGAACACAAUAAUUAUUACACUAGAGGAUUGUCCUUUUCAAUCUUGUAGUACUAGGAAAAGGUCCUCUCAAUGUUCUAAUAUCCGACUGGAUGUAGAAAAAGAACUGCAAAAAGUUGACAUCCAUUGGCCAAUAUGGACCUUUACUCAACCUUAUAUUCUAUAUACAAAAAAUCAUCUCAAUUAAGAGAACAUGUCAAAUAUGAAAAUCAAAUUCAGCUUCUGUUCCAAAUGAUUUCUUACAAUGAGCAAUGGCUGCCUAAAUAGAAUUAUCCCUUCAAUAAAAUUUUCUAACGUCGUCAUCACAUACAUUGCUAUGCUUUGGUGACGUCUUAAUAGACUUGCCAUCAACUUAUUCGAUUGGUAAAAACCCUAAAAAUGAUUGAAUAUGUGAUUUUUAUGUGUUUUAGAUUAUGAACAAACUGAAUUUGUUCAAGAAAGGGAAAGGCUUUAGCUGGGAUAGCUUGCAUUCUGGUACCAUACUUGUAUACUACAUGGAUGGAGACAGUCCCAUAUAUAUUAUAAUUGCACAUAUAAUUUAACAUCCAAAUAUAUAUGAUUCAACUUCUCUUCAUUUCUCUUCUUUUCAUUUUUUUCAAGUUCUACCUUGGAUCGAAGACACGUGUCAUAGUUUAAAAUCAAUGGUUGAGAUUUAAUUAAUUAAAGUAAAGUUUCAACCAUAGUUAUUUACUUCCAUAUAUUUGCUUCUUAAAUAUUUAAAAAACAAAUAUAUGGAGAUAAAUAAUUAUGAUUAGGACUUUAGUUUAAUCAAUUAAAUCUCAACCAUUAAUUUCAAACUAUGACAUGUGUCUCCAAUGCAAGCUAGAACUUGAGAAAAAUGAAAAGAGGAGAAAUGAAGAGGAACCGGAUCCAAAUAUAAUGUAAUUAAUCUAAAUUUGGAACAUAUACGCUAUAUAUGAUAAAUUAAAAUACAAACCUCAAUUAUGUUAUGAUGUUAGUAAGCAAUUGGUUGCAAAUACCAAUGGGCUGAUUCUAGACAUUUUGCCAAUGUCAAGAACUCGGCCUAAUGUCUAGUCCAUUGGUAUUGGCCAUCAAUUGUCUACUCAGUUGUGGGGGUCAACAAGUAAGAUACCCUUAGGACAUUGUAAUCAUAACAUGAUUUGGACUUGUUAUUUAAUUUAUGAUAUAUAGAACAUAUGUUUCAAAUUAUGUUUACUUACAAUGUUCUGAACCCAACUCAUUAACCACAGAAACAAAAUUAUAAUAGUUCGACAUCCAUUGGCCAACUAUGGACCUUUACUCAACUUUUUAUUAUAUAUAUACAAAAAUCAUCUCAAUUAAGAGAACACUGU
RNAcentral lists this long non-coding RNA (3924 nucleotides) under Solanum lycopersicum (tomato). RNAcentral describes it as "partial TCONS_00160735". The record is from RNAcentral. Lineage: Eukaryota; Viridiplantae; Streptophyta; Magnoliopsida; Solanales; Solanaceae.